Molecule: ribosomal RNA, 905 nt
Filed under: uncultured bacterium
Lineage: Bacteria
Description: bacterial SSU rRNA
Rfam family: Bacterial small subunit ribosomal RNA
Source: RNAcentral
AGAGUUUGAUCAUGGCUCAGGAUGAACGCUAGCGGGAGGCUUAACACAUGCAAGUCGAGGGGUAAAUGGCAGCAAUGCUAUGAGACCGGCGGACGGGUGCGUAACGCGUAUGCAACAUACCUUGUGCAGGGGGAUAGCCCGUGGAAACGCGGAUUAAUAUUCCAUAGUCCAGCUAUAUCGCAUGGUAUAGUUGGUAAAGAUUUAUCGGCACAAGUUUGGCAUGCGUCUGAUUAGCUUGUUGGUAGGGUAACGGCCUACCAAGGCUACGAUCAGUAGGGGUUCUGAGAGGAUUAACCCCCACACUGGUACUGAGACACGGACCAGACUCCUACGGGAGGCAGCAGUGAGGAAUAUUGGUCAAUGGGCGGAAGCCUGAACCAGCCAUCCCGCGUGAAGGAAGACAGCCUUACGGGUUGUAAACUUCUUUUCUGUCAGAAGAAUAAGCUUGUCGAGACGAGUGAUGCCGGUAUGACAGGAAUAAGCAUCGGCUAACUCCGUGCCAGCAGCCGCGGUAAUACGGAGGAUGCAAGCGUUAUCCGGAUUUAUUGGGUUUAAAGGGUGCGCAGGUUGUUUGAUAAGUCAGUGGUGAAAGUCUGUCGCUUAACGGUAGGAUUGCCAUUGAUACUGUUGGACUUGAAUAUGGAUGAGGUAGGCGGAAUGUGUAGUGUAGCGGUGAAAUGCAUAGAUAUUACACAGAACACCGAUUGCGAAGGCAGCUUACUAAUCCAUCAUUGACGCUGAGGCACGAAAGCGUGGGGAUCAAACAGGAUUAGAUACCCUGGUAGUCCACGCCGUAAACGAUGAUCACUCGCUGUUUGCGAUAUACAGUAAGCGGCUAAGCGAAAGCGUUAAGUGAUCCACCUGGGGAGUACGAUCGCAAGGUUGAAACUCAAAGGAAUUGACGG